AUUGAACGCUGGCGGCAUGCCUAACACAUGCAAGUCGAACGAGUGGCGGACGGGUGAGUAAGGUCUGGGAAACUGCCCGAUGGAGGGGGAUAACUACUGGAAACGGUAGCUAAUACCGCAUACCAUCGGAUGUGCCCAGGUGGGAUUAGCUAGUGGGUGGGGUAACGGCUCACCUAGGCGACGAGCCCUAGCUGGUCUGAGAGGAUGACCAGCCACACUGGAACUGAGACACGGCCCAGACUCCUACGGGAGGCAGCAGUGGGGAAUUUUGGACAAUGGGCGAAAGCCUGAUGCAGCCAUGCCGCGUGUGUGAAGAAGGCCUUCGGGUUGUAAAGUACUUUCGGCGGGGAGGCGUUACUCGCAGAAUAAGCACCGGCUAACUCCGUGCCAGCAGCCGCGGUAAUAC
This 406-nucleotide ribosomal RNA is filed under the name uncultured bacterium. RNAcentral's name for it is "partial 16S ribosomal RNA". It matches the Rfam family "Bacterial small subunit ribosomal RNA", at positions 30 to 526 of the family's 1533-position model. The record is from RNAcentral.